Molecule: transfer RNA, 75 nt
Filed under: Deinococcus roseus
Lineage: Bacteria; Thermotogati; Deinococcota; Deinococci; Deinococcales; Deinococcaceae
Description: tRNA-Met
Rfam family: tRNA
About the family: Transfer RNA (tRNA) molecules are approximately 80 nucleotides in length. Their secondary structure includes four short double-helical elements and three loops (D, anti-codon, and T loops).
Source: RNAcentral
CGGAACCGUGGUCCAACUGGAAAGACGGGUGGACUCAUAAUCCCCAGUUGCAGGUUCAAGUCCUGCCGGUUCUGU